AGAGCUAAUUAAGGUUUGAGAAAUGGGAAUAGAGGAAUUAAGAGCCAUCCCCGAUUCAGAUUUUUUCUCUUUUAUUUAAGUUGGUGGUUGAAUGUUCAUAAAGAUGGGAUUGAAGAGGAAGUGGAUGGACAUGGAUUUCGGGUAUUGUUGAAAGAAAAUUUUGAGACAAUGCGUGGAUUUCAUUUUCAUGUUUAUGAGUAAAAUUGUAGGGAUACUAAUAUCUCUUCCAAUUAACGCUAAAUCACCCAAAUCCCAAUAUCUUAAAUUAGGUUAGUUAAUUGCUUGUUUCAAAGAGCAAAGCUGCAC
RNAcentral lists this unclassified non-coding RNA (306 nucleotides) under Hevea brasiliensis (rubber tree). The record is from RNAcentral. Lineage: Eukaryota; Viridiplantae; Streptophyta; Magnoliopsida; Malpighiales; Euphorbiaceae.